RNAcentral lists this ribosomal RNA (301 nucleotides) under uncultured bacterium. Its description in RNAcentral is "partial 16S ribosomal RNA". It matches the Rfam family "Bacterial small subunit ribosomal RNA", at positions 509 to 807 of the family's 1533-position model. The record is from RNAcentral.
CAGUAGCCGCGGUAAUACGAAGGGUGCAAGCGUUACUCGGAAUUACUGGGCGUAAAGCGUGCGUAGGUGGUGGUUUAAGUCCGUUGUGAAAGCCCUGGGCUCAACCUGGGAAUUGCAGUGGAUACUGGGUCACUAGAGUGUGGUAGAGGAUAGUGGAAUUUCCGGUGUAGCAGUGAAAUGCGUAGAGAUCGGAAGGAACAUCUGUGGCGAAGGCGACUAUCUGGGCCAACACUGACACUGAGGCACGAAAGCGUGGGGAGCAAACAGGAUUAGAUACCCCCGUAGUCCCUGUCUCUUAUAC